Molecule: RNase P RNA, 333 nt
Filed under: uncultured Butyricicoccus sp.
Lineage: Bacteria; Bacillati; Bacillota; Clostridia; Eubacteriales; Butyricicoccaceae
Description: Bacterial RNase P class A
Rfam family: Bacterial RNase P class A
About the family: Ribonuclease P (RNase P) is a ubiquitous endoribonuclease, found in archaea, bacteria and eukarya as well as chloroplasts and mitochondria.
Source: RNAcentral
AAUCCAGACAGUCGCGUACUGGCUUGACCAGUAUGAGGAAAGUCCGGGCUGCACAGGGCAAGGAUAGCAGAUAACGUCUGCCGGGGGUGACCCUAGGAAUAGUGCAACAGAGAAAUACCGCCGCGGAUUCCAUAUCUGCGGUAAGGGUGGAAAGGCGAGGUAAGAGCUCACCACGCCCCAUGGUAACAUGGGGGGUCUGUAAACUCUAUCCGCAGCAACGUCAAUAGGAGCUAUGGGCGGCCCGUCCGUUCCGACCGACGGCUUGAGGCGUGUGGCAACAUGCGUCCCAGAUAGAUGAUUGUCAAAUACAGAACCCGGCUUACAGGAUUGCUC